RNAcentral lists this ribosomal RNA (496 nucleotides) under uncultured bacterium. RNAcentral's name for it is "partial 16S ribosomal RNA". It matches the Rfam family "Bacterial small subunit ribosomal RNA", at positions 28 to 507 of the family's 1533-position model. The record is from RNAcentral.
GAUGAACGCUGGCGGCGUGCCUAAUACAUGCAAGUCGAGCGAACAGACGAGGAGCUUGCUCCUCUGACGUUAGCGGCGGACGGGUGAGUAACACGUGGAUAACCUACCUAUAAGACUGGGAUAACUUCGGGAAACCGGAGCUAAUACCGGAUAAUAUAUUGAACCGCAUGGUUCAAUAGUGAAAGACGGUUUUGCUGUCACUUAUAGAUGGAUCCGCGCCGCAUUAGCUAGUUGGUAAGUAACGGCUUACCAAGGCAACGAUGCGUAGCCGACCUGAGAGGGUGAUCGGCCACACUGGAACUGAGACACGGUCCAGACUCCUACGGGAGGCAGCAGUAGGGAAUCUUCCGCAAUGGGCGAAAGCCUGACGGAGCAACGCCGCGUGAGUGAUGAAGGUCUUCGGAUCGUAAAACUCUGUUAUUAGGGAAGAACAAAUGUGUAAGUAACUAUGCACGUCUUGACGGUACCUAAUCAGAAAGCCACGGCUAACUACGUG